This is an RNA transcript of Aquila chrysaetos chrysaetos, 5076 nucleotides long. It is a transcript of the gene named mbt domain containing 1, with no coding region annotated. Lineage: Eukaryota; Metazoa; Chordata; Aves; Accipitriformes; Accipitridae. The record is from RefSeq and is a predicted model, not a curated record. The transcript has 18 exons.
ACAGCUGGGAGCCCAAUGAGGGCGCGCGGUGGGCCGGGCGCCGCGCAUGCGCAGAGGCGUUAUGCUAAUGUUGUUGAUAUUCCGGCGCAGGGAGUUGGGUUUCUUUCUCUGGCUGAGUGAGAGGCUGAACUUUCCAGGCCGCCUCCUGCCCCGCCGGGCCCGGCCCCUCACAGGGGGAGGCGGCAGGCGGAGGGGGCCGAGCCGAGGGGAGGGGGCAGAGGCAGCGGGCGUUCUCCUGCCCAUGAGGGCCUGAUGGAAAACACAAAGGACCUGGCUUUUGAUACCUUCUGCAAACUACUACUGCAUACCUUCAUUUCUCAGACAGAACAUACUUCACGAGCAGAAAGGAAAAGACGUGAUUCAUUCGGGAUGUUUGACGGUUAUGAUAGUUGUAGUGAGGACACCAGCAGCAGCUCCAGUUCAGACGAGAGUGAAGAGGAGGUUGCUCCUUUGCCGUCCAGUCUCCCAAUUAUAAAGAACAAUGGACAGGUCUAUACUUACCCAGAUGGCAAAUCUGGCAUGGCUACAUGCGAGAUGUGUGGAAUGGUUGGUGUCCGUGACGCUUUUUACUCUAAAACAAAACGCUUCUGCAGUGUGUCAUGCUCUAGAAGCUAUUCAUCAAACUCCAAGAAGGCCAGCAUUCUGGCCAGACUUCAGGUAGCGGGUAAACCUCCAACAAAGAAGGCUAAAGUUCUACAAAAACAACCCCUAGUGGCUAAAUUAGCAGCAUAUGCUCAAUACCAAGCAACUUUACAAAACCAGGCAAAGACUAAAGCAGCAGCUGUCCCUGUGGAAGGUUUCAGCUGGGGUAACUACAUCAAUAGCAAUAGCUUUGCAGCAGCUCCUGUUACCUGUUUUAAACACGCACCUAUGGGGACAUGCUGGGGUGAUAUCUCAGAAGGAGUGCGAGUGGAGGUUCCAAACACGGACUGCAGCCUACCUACCAAAGUCUUCUGGAUAGCUGGAAUUGUAAAAUUAGCAGGCUACAAUGCUCUGCUAAGAUAUGAAGGCUUUGAAAAUGAUUCAAGUCUUGACUUCUGGUGCAACGUUUGUGGGUCUGACAUCCACCCAGUUGGUUGGUGUGCAACCAGUGGGAAGCCCCUAGUCCCUCCUCGAACCAUCCAACACAAAUACACAAACUGGAAAGCUUUUCUAGUGAAACGACUUACUGGUGCCAAAACACUUCCUCCUGACUUUUCUCAGAAGGUGUCUGAGAGUAUGCAGUAUCCAUUCAAAACUUCCAUGAGAGUAGAAGUUGUUGACAAAACACACCUUUGUCGAACAAGGGUAGCAGUUGUAGAAAGUGUCAUUGGGGGCCGGUUAAGAUUGGUGUAUGAAGAAAGUGAAGACAAAACUGAUGACUUCUGGUGCCAUAUGUACAGUCCACUCAUUCAUCAUAUUGGUUGGUCUCGAAGUAUAGGACACAGAUUCAAAAGAUCUGAUAUUACAAAGAAACAGGAUGGACAUUUUGAUGCACCCCCACAUUUAUUUACGAAGGCAAAAGAGGUUGAUGCAGCUGGAGAAUGGUUUAAAGAAGGAAUGAAAUUGGAAGCUAUAGACCCCUUAAACCUUUCGGCAAUAUGCGUGGCAACUAUUAGAAAGGUUUUAGCAGAUGGCUAUCUUAUGAUUGGGAUUGAUGGCUCAGAAGCAGCAGAUGGGUCUGAUUGGUUUUGUUACCAUGCCACUUCCCCUUCUAUUUUCCCUGUUGGUUUCUGUGAAAUUAACAUGAUUGAACUAACUCCACCCAGAGGUUAUGCAAAACUCCCUUUUAAAUGGUUUGACUACCUCAGGGAAACUGACUCAAUAGCAGCACCUGUAAAGCUCUUCAAUAAGGAAGUUCCAAACCAUGGGUUUCAUGUUGGAAUGAAACUGGAAGCUGUUGAUCUGAUGGAACCUCGCCUGGUAUGUGUGGCCACAGUAACUCGCAUUAUCCAUCGUCUUUUGAGGAUACACUUUGAUGGGUGGGAAGAUGAAUAUGAUCAGUGGGUGGAUUGCGAGUCCCCAGACCUCUAUCCAGUGGGAUGGUGUCAGCUAACUGGAUAUCAACUACAGCCUCCAGCGCCUCAAUCAUCAAGAGAUAGCCAGUCAAGUUCAUCAAAACAGAAGAAAAAAGCUAAAUCACAACAGUACAAAGGACAUAAGAAAAUGACUUCAUUGCAGCUGAAGGAGGAGUUGCUAGAUGGAGAAGAGUAUAGCUUCCUUCAAGGAGCAUCUGAUCAGGAAAGCAACGGAUCUGCCAGUUACUACAUCAAACAAGAACCAUAAGGCAGCUCAGAAAAGUGAGGGGCAGAGUAUUGGUGAUAGGAAAAGAGCCUUUCUCCAAGACUGACUGAUUUUGUUCCCACUUCGAUGGUACAGUUCAGGUGACUGUACCUGGGGCACUUUGCUAACUGUAGAUGAGUUAGACUCAGUUCAGAAUUUUUUGGAAGGGCGGGGAAACUAUUUUAGUGAAAAAGAUUUUUCAAUUUAUUAAAAACAAAAAAGGACACUUUUGUGUUGUAUUUGAAGCUUUUGAAAGAAUUUUGUAAUAUUUUCAAGUUCAGAUUUAUUGUGCAUUGUUAACAAGAACUGAAAUUCUAAUUUUUUGGUAAGAUUAAAGUUUAAUUAGCAUGAUUGUGGGAAGCGGUUGGAGGAAGAUAUAGUUGCAAAUACAAAUGAACUGUCAUAACAAAUGAACCUUUUUGGUACAAGUUGGGAGACUUCUAGACUCUUGUGAACUGCACUGGUCACGCCUCUGGUUGUUUUUUUUUUAUUGUGAAAAUAAGGCAUUUAAGCCCUAAUUUAGAGGCAUAAAUUGUAUGUGGAAGAUAAUCCUGUAAAGCUCUACUCAGUGAGUAGCCCCAGUUGCAAUGGAGCCAUCACCUGAGGAAGAUUUUAACUUCUCAAGAUGUUUUUAUUUAGUUUAAAAUACUUUUUUUUUUAUAUAUAAGAAUUUUUUUUUUUUUAAAUAAAAGGUUCCUUAGGGUCUGAUUCAGUGCCCAUUAAUAUCAGUAGCCUUGUCUCCAUUGACUGCAGUAGGCAUUGGAUUGGGACCAUAAAGCUUUUGUCUGUUCAUGACUGUCUGUAGUCUUGGAAUGCUUCAGCAAAUGUUUACAGAGCCCUAUGCCAAACUGGAACUUCAGAAAAUUCCCUCAUUUGGAAGAUUAGUUUUAGCUAUGAAUUUAGACUGAAGAAGAAACAGAUGGACAGUAACUCUCACCUCCUUUGGUAGUGGGAAGGAACUUCUGAGCAUUUUUCUGAUUUUUUUUUUUUUUUUUUUUUUUUUUAUUCAGAAAGACCUGGGUGUUUCUUUACUACCUUAAAUAUUUAUUUGUGAACAUUCAAAACUGAUGUUCCACAUGGUUUCAGCCUGGAUUGGAGAAGCAGGAUUAGAGACCAUUGUAAUGACACUUCGAGCCUUGAAAUUUUUUUUUUUUUUUUUUUUUUUUUUCCUUCUCCUGUGUUCUCAAUUUAACCUGCUGUAAAAUCCAGCUCUGCAAGCAUUGAUUUGGUUUGGUAAGUACAUCACUAUUGAUUUUUUAUUUUAUUUUAUUUUUUUAAAUGCAACAACUUGCAGAUUGUCCCAGUCAGCUGGAACAAGGUUGGCACAAUCUUGCUUUGUUCUCUCAUCAAUAGCUUCUGACUUCAGUAGAAAAACUGUUGCAUUAAUUUGUGUUUCAUGAUGUGAAAGCUUGGGCUAGUAAUGAGCAAGGUAUAUUGCCCAGUCACUAAACCUUGGCCUUCUGCGUAUUGCCCAGGCUUAUACCUGAUUUCUGAGUUACAGUCUUCAAAUGUCAAGAGGGGAAAUUAGCACUUAAGUUGAACAUACUUCCUGUGUUGGAAAAAUGUAAGAAUCGGAUUUGAAGUCUGUCAGUCUUUAUAAUGUUCUUUAAAAAUAGGUAUUUUAUUCGUUUAACACUAAAGUAUGUGAGUGCAUUCUCAGAUACACAUGUGACUUCAGUAGGAGUUGGGUGAAUUUUCUCUUUGUGUUUCUGAAUUCAAAAUAUACCUAAAUUGUGUGUUUGUCAAGUACAGUGAAAUAUAUCCUAAGCAAACCACAUAAGGAACUAACUGAAGUCACUUGCUUAGGAGAGGUUUAAAGAAAACGUGCGCAAAAUUCUACCAGGUAUUUAGAGCGGUCUCUUCAACGAGUGGGCUACCUGUUGGCUGUGGUAUCCAUAGUAUAGGCUUCACUGUAUUUGUAAAGCAUUUGUUAGUAACAUGGCUCUAGGUAGUUUUAUCUUCACUUUACUCUAAGCCAUGUUAUUUGGCUAAAAGAGCAGCAAAGUGUUGGACAUCUGAAAUCUUCAAUGGGGUCAAACUAAUUUCAGUAUUUGGCAUAGCAGGUUUUUAUAACCAUAAGGUAGCGCAAGUUAUGUACCUUACUUUGCAGCUACCCUUCUUCUCUUGCUCAAAAUCUUUCUGCUGACCUUUGAUUUUUAUGUUAUUUUAAAUACAACUCUUUAACCUUUUCCUUGCUGCAUCUGAGGAAAGCUAAAGCAGUUAUCAAUUCCUUGUUCUACGGAUACUAACACGGGUUUCAGUGUUUGUUUGUUUUUUUUAUUGUUGUUUUAUGUGAUGUGAAUACCCUCUCCCGUCAAUAUUUGUAUGAUGGUGCUAAUAUAUUUGGUAACAAUCCUUUAUUGGGAAGGGAUUUUAAAAAACUGUGAUUUCAACUGAAUUUUUCUUCCUUUAAUUUUCAUAUUUAAAACAAAAAGCCACAGCCAUUUUUACAAAAAAGGCAUCAGCUUUGGCCCCUGGGAAAAUGUUGGGGCGGGAAUCAAGAUUAAACAAAUAGGGUUUUUACAUCAUUUCUGUAUGUAUUUGAUAUAUAGAUCAAUAUCUGUACAAAUUUAAUCUUUUAUUUUCUUGGUAAUUUGUGUGGUCAAUGAGAGAGAGCAUUUAAAGCUUUCUCAUGCAAUGUACAUAACUAAGUGAAAAAAAUGCUUUUGGAGAAAUUAAUGUUACUUUCAUUUUUACGAGACUGCAGAUUUUCAGCAUGGAUGUGAAAAGCAUUAAAAUUAUAACUUUGUGUACAAGAUGAAAAUAAUUCACUAAAUUUGCCUUUUUUACACAAAAUAAAAAUGAUAAAAAGUC